RNAcentral lists this long non-coding RNA (280 nucleotides) under Manacus vitellinus (golden-collared manakin). Its description in RNAcentral is "lncRNA (ENSMVIG00005005555.1)". The record is from RNAcentral. Lineage: Eukaryota; Metazoa; Chordata; Aves; Passeriformes; Pipridae.
UGUUGUUUGUUGGUUUCUAAUACUUUCCCUUUGGUUUUACUGUGCUUAUUCCGCAGGUUUCUGGAAAUUUACUGAGAAAAAGUCUCACAGCAUCCUCAGCGACCACAAGCCUCACAAACUGUACCUCCUGUUUGAGUGCCAUUCAGCACAGAACAAAACACCCAGUCCUGCCUCUGUAGCUGCUCUGAGAUCUGCUAUCUCUGAAAAUACUGGUUUCAGGUGUGGGCUGGAAAGUGACAGUUCUUUCCCACCUUGACUGUGUAACUCACCAUCCCUUACA